CAGGGCCGUGUUGGACACUGAGGGGACCGAAGUCUCGGGCUGAGCAGGAUGAACUAUCAUUACAGACUAGAAUUUCUGAUGUCUCCGUGACUCCACUGCUUGGAACUGACGCAGCCCAGGGAGACUCGUCUGGUAGUCGCCCUGGCUUCUGCUAACUCACUGGUUUCUUCCCAGGCCCCUGAUUCUCGAAGGAGGGUCCGCAGCGCCUCGAAGGGGUUUAAGACGUUCACCGGUGUGUUAUUUUUGAAUAAAGCUUGAGAGCUUUGGAAGCCCAGCAGGGGCAGUGCCCCUUCACAGAGAUUCAGGGAUAGCCUGGUGGCUGAAGGCCUAAAGUUUGGAAUUUUCCUCUUGGAGAAGUGCUGUUGGGAUAGCUGGGAUGCCCAGGUAAUGGUUCCUGCCACUUCAUCGACAAGCUGUGACAAGAAGUGGAGAGUAGCGUGCCUCUACCUGGGUACUGUGAAUUUUGCUGACACAAAGGAUAUUCUUUACCUGGUGUCGGACAGAUCCUUGGAACUUCACGUCUUUCGUGCAUUAACCCGCGUAAGCAGCUGUCAAUCUCCUGGGGUGGAGGAGACUGCCUAGAAAUUUGGGGACCAAAAUCAAUUAGGUGGCCUUUACUUCGUCUUACCCAAAAGACUCCAAUAAAAUAUUUUAAAGCAAAUAAAAAAUAGAUUGGUCUUAGUGAAAACAAGACGGUACAGAAAGGUUUAGGGACAUGAAAGGUUAACCACCAGUGAAUGAGCAUCACAGUUGACAUCUAGCUGUACCUCUUUGCAGCCACAUACAAAAAGUAGAUUUGCCACAUAUAGACACCAAUGUUAAGGAUUUCUAGAUUGAUUGUGGUAGUAUUCUUAUAUUUGAGGUUUUUAUUACGCCAUUGACACAGACAUCCAAUUUGCCUUUUGAUCAAUUGGUGAAAACAUAGGUUGUCCAGAUAUAUUUUAAAAGAAUAUACUGGUGGUUGCCAGGGGCAGGGAAUGAGGAAAUGAAGAGUUGCUGUUCAAUGGGUAUAGAGUUUCCAUUUUAGAAGAUGAAAAGAGUUUACGGGGAUGGAUGGUGGUGAUGGUUGCUCAAUGUGAUGAAUGUGUUUGUUACUACUGAACUUUAUGCUUAAAAGUGGUAAAGAUGGGGGAGGGGAUAAAUUGGAAGAUUAGGAUUGACACAUACAUGCUACUACAUAUAAAAAAGGUAACUAAUAAAGAGCUAUUGUAUAGCACAGGGGACUCUACUGAAUACUCUGUAAUGGCCUAUAUGGGAAAAGAAUUUAACAAAAAAGUGGAUAUAUGUAUAGCUGAUUCACUUUGCUGUAUACCUGAAACUAACAUGACAUUGUAAAUCAACGAUACCCCAAUAAAAAAUUUUUAAAAAAUGGUAAAGAUGGUAAAUUUCAUGUGUAUUUCACUGCAGUAAAAAAAAAAAAUGGGGGAAAGCAUACUCUGUGCUCCUAUUUGUCAUCUUCAUAAAGGAGAUUCCCCACCAGCGUGUAAAGAGUAUGCUGCGGUAAGGCUGUAUUGUACAGUAGCCAGCUUCUGGUAAGGGGGCAUUUGAGUUUCUGGUCAUGGUAUAUACCAGUGCUGAUUCCCUAUUAAUUUGCACCCAUUUGAACUUGUGUUGUAGAAUACAUUUCCAAAAGUAGAAUUUCAGAGUCAAAGGAUUUGGGCAUUUAAAGUAAUGAUGUAUGUUCCAUAAAGUUGUCCCAGUUUAUACUCGUAACAGCAGUCUCCUUCAGAGUGCCUGUUUCUCUACCUGCCAUCACUACUCCAGGUGGAUUGUACCAGUUUGUGUACCUAAUAAUUCAUUUUUUUUAAAAUAAUUCAUCUUUUAAAUACUGCACAUCUUUUGCAUCUGUUUUCCUAUGGAAUGUUUCCAUCUUGGUCCCCACUCAGCAAAGAUUUUUUCCAACUUUUAUUUUCCUUAAUCGUCUUUGCCAGGCCUUUUUUUUUUUCCCGUCCUUGAAAUUGCCCUGUUUGGUACUCUCUACAGGACAGUUACCUGCUCCCAUUGCUAUUCCCUGACCACAGGUUCUGUAUAAUCUUAGCAGCCACCAUAUAUUUAGUGCUUUGGUCUGUCCUAGGCUUUUUAUGUGUUUCACUUCAUUGAAUCCUUAAAACCUUGCAAAGUAGAUAUGUAUCUACCCUACCUUGCAAGCAAGGAGAGGAAAGCUCAGGGAUGUUAAAUAAUUUGCUUAAGGUCACAGAGAUAGGAGGUACUGAGGCCCCUGGGCUGGACACUGGUGUUUGUCAAGUGGAGUAAAAUUGAAGCUUGGUUCUCACCCAGACACUCCAAGGACAAAGCAAGUGGCAGAAGCUGAGCUCUGCUGAAGUUAAGAGAUAAGAUGACCACUCCUGAGGUCAAGGCCUCUGCAGUGGAA
Lagenorhynchus albirostris (white-beaked dolphin) is the source of this 2371-nucleotide long non-coding RNA. RefSeq lists it as uncharacterized. The transcript has 5 exons. The record is from RefSeq and is a predicted model, not a curated record. Lineage: Eukaryota; Metazoa; Chordata; Mammalia; Artiodactyla; Delphinidae.